This 211-nucleotide ribosomal RNA is filed under the name uncultured Actinomycetales bacterium. Its description in RNAcentral is "partial 16S ribosomal RNA". It matches the Rfam family "Bacterial small subunit ribosomal RNA", at positions 65 to 275 of the family's 1533-position model. Lineage: Bacteria; Bacillati; Actinomycetota; Actinomycetes; Actinomycetales. The record is from RNAcentral.
AACGGAAAGGCUCCAGCUUGCUGGAGUACUCGAGUGGCGAACGGGUGAGUAACACGUGGGUAAUCUGCCCUGCACUCUGGGAUAAGCCUGGGAAACUGGGUCUAAUACUGGAUAUGACCUUUCUCCUUAUGGGGUUUGGUGGAAAGUUUUUCGGUGUAGGAUGAGCCCGCGGCCUAUCAGCUUGUUGGUGGGGUGAUGGCCUACCAAGGCG